CAACAGGACACAUAAACUGUUAGUGCCUUGUCUGGAACAAGGAAAGUGGUCAAUAAAUGUAGUUUCUUUCAGAAGCAGAAGGAAAAGCUGUGUUUCAGGAAUGGUUUCAUGUCAGUAAAAACAAUUAUAGAUGACCUUCAUAGUUCCAGGCACAGUUAGAGAUACGGAGCUACACCUGUCCCAACUAUCAGAGUAGAAUCCAGCAAGGGUCUGAGCUGUGUGGCCCAAAUAGCCACCACCCAAAGCUCUGCAUGAUAAAGGCUGUGAGAAUUGCGAGCCCGACGUACCAGGGGAGUUCAGAGAAGGGAGCGAUUUCAAUUUUCUUUGAGUAUUGACUUGCUACUGCAUGGUAACUGUAGUAUCUUCUAAGAAUGACAGUCAGGGCUAAUGAAUCACUCCAUUUAGCUGUGGCAACAGCAAGGCAAAGAAAUAUCUUCAAGGGCCCAGACAUUAUUUUUCCAGCCUUGUUCCAGGGAUAUAACGUGCUUAGAAGUUAUGACAAAUUAGCUGCUGGUGGCAAAUCUACGUGGAACCUUUUUAUAAAAAAUGGAAGUUCCGUCCUGAGUUAAUGGGUUGUUAUUGGCAAGGGAAAUAAAAUUUGAUAAGGAGGGUGGGUCCUGGCAUGGAAGGACCUUCAAAAGCAGCAGAAGAUUUUACAUUUGACUCAGGAAGCCCAGGGAUGAGCAAAUGGGAGAGGCAUGGACCAGACCUCCAUUGAGUCACAGGCCAUUUCUGUAUUUCAGUGUCCCAACAGUCAGUUUACGCAUGAAGGCUGAGGGCACUGUCCCCAGACCAUUGUACAGGGUAAGGGAAAAGAAGUAAAGGAGACUUAAUUUUUUAAAAAAGAAACUAUAGAUGUGAGGAGAAUGCUAUUUUUUAACCAUGCUAAUUUUUUUUAUUGCCAAUCUUGUCUUCCUAGGAUGGAACAUCUCUUAAUUUCAUGCUGCCAUGUUUGUGCUUCCAGGUACCUGAGGUACAUUCAGAAAGGCCAGACUCUGGGUUCCUUCUGGCAUUGGGAGGAAGAAGGCAUCCCGGAAGUCAAGACUCUGAACACAUCUUCCUCAAGUACAUCCUACCUAAAGGAAACUCUUGCUUGGCACUGUUGGUUGUUCUGAAAGAAGAGAAAAUCCAGCAAACCACUGACCAUUUCAUUUUGCUGGCCAUAGUUGCAGCACUUUCAUACCUGCAGAACUCACUGGGGUUAUGCUAGAACAAGAGCUGAGCUACAGACUCCUGUUCCUAUUUUCGUUUUGUGUCCUACUGAGCCCUCCCUGUGUUACCAUCCCUGGGACCACCCACUGGACAGAUAUUGUACAACCCAAUAGGAAAUUCCCAACACCCAUCUUGGAGGUAAAGGGCCAUCAGUGCUGAUUGUAGGAAUGCCAUUUCUUCCCUGCCCUUUCAAUAAAGGGGCACUCCCAAAGACA
Molecule: long non-coding RNA, 1427 nt
Filed under: Sus scrofa (pig)
Lineage: Eukaryota; Metazoa; Chordata; Mammalia; Artiodactyla; Suidae
Description: lncRNA (ENSSSCG00070000619.1)
Source: RNAcentral